GACGAACGCUGGCGGCGUGCUUAACACAUGCAAGUCGAACGGAAAGGCCCUGCUUUUGUGGGGUGCUCGAGUGGCGAACGGGUGAGUAACACGUGAGUAACCUGCCCUUGACUUUGGGAUAACUUCAGGAAACUGGGGCUAAUACCGGAUAGGAGCUCCUGCUGCAUGGUGGGGGGUGGAAAGUUUCGGCGGUUGGGGAUGGACUCGCGGCUUAUCAGCUUGUUGGUGGGGUAGUGGCUUACCAAGGCUUUGACGGGUAGCCGGCCUGAGAGGGUGACCGGCCACAUUGGGACUGAGAUACGGCCCAGACGCCUACGGGAGGCAGCAGUGGGGAAUAUUGCACAAUGGGCGGAAGCCUGAUGCAGCAACGCCGCGUGGGGGAUGACGGCCGUCGGGUUGUAGACCGCUUUCGCCUGUGACGAAGCGUGAGUGACGGUAAUGGGUAAAGAAGCACCGGCUAACUACGUG
RNAcentral lists this ribosomal RNA (468 nucleotides) under uncultured bacterium. RNAcentral describes it as "partial 16S ribosomal RNA". It matches the Rfam family "Bacterial small subunit ribosomal RNA", at positions 28 to 507 of the family's 1533-position model. The record is from RNAcentral.